RNAcentral lists this long non-coding RNA (5868 nucleotides) under Nicotiana tabacum (common tobacco). RNAcentral describes it as "long non-coding RNA (NTAB_LNC016550)". The record is from RNAcentral. Lineage: Eukaryota; Viridiplantae; Streptophyta; Magnoliopsida; Solanales; Solanaceae.
GCUCGUCACCUCAUACAUGUAUAGCUCCUGUAACACAUAGUACGUAGCAGCUAUAGCACAUACAGGGUAAAUUCCUUCUUACAAUGUUAAACAUGAGACUUACCUUACUCCAAAAUCUGAUAAUCUGCUCCAUGGCUCUCUAACACCUCAAAUCAAUGUCAAACGAUCCAAAACUAGUCAAAGAAUGUACAAAUCAAUCAAAACAUACUCAAAAACUCGUAAAUUAAUAACUAGAAACAAUUCUCGAUUCCAUAUGAAAAGUCAACAAAGUUAACCUCAAUCUCGGGCACCCAAAUGUCAAAAAUUCUUGAAGAUAAAUAUUAUCCAUAGUACCACAAACUCAAAUAUAUAAUUUAUUCCGAAUUUCAUGUCCAAUUUUGUAGUCGAAACUCAAAAAUAUAAUCUCUAGGUUUUCUUUCAAAAUCCCACAAUUUCUACCAAUUUCCAUGGUUAAAUUUAUAUAUAUAUUCUAUGUAUUUGACUCAAAAUAAGUUGGAACCACUUACCUUAUGACAGAUGAUGAAAAUGCCCUUUCAAAAUCGCCUGAAAAUCGGCUUGAAAUGAGAGAAAUGAGAUGAAAUGGGCUAAGUCUCGAUUUUGCAUCUUAUACAUUACCUAUUCAUUAAUCUUCAUGAUUGCAUAAAGAACCCUCGCGGUCGCGAAGGACAAAUAUUCUACUGCCAAAAGUUCCUCUAUCGCGAUCGCGAAAAUCCCCUCGCAAUUGUGGAGCAUUGCGCUCAAAACCUACGCCGUUUGCGUAAGGCCAAUCGCGUUUGCAUAAGGCCAAUUCCUGCCCAACCUUAAGACCCUUCAUCACAGUCACAGUCACCCAUUUAUGUUUGCAAAGAGCAACCUGCCUAGCUGCCUCCCCCUCACAAUGCAACACUCUAGUCGCGUAUGCGUAGAGCAAAAAAUGCCCGACCUCCAGUUCCUUUUCCGCAUUUGCGACUUUCCUGUCGUGUUAGCAUAACACAAAACCCUACAAUCCCAAAAUACUUCAUCACGAACGCGUGCUUCCCUCCGUGUUCACGAAGAACAACACCAGCACCAAUAUAACAACUUAACUAAUCGUUUUGUGCAUUUUAGCCCCGUUCCUCUAUUUAUUGCCUUUUCUAUGUUCACUUGAUGUUUCGUGACUUGCGAAUUUGGUUGGUUAGGUUUCAGAAAGUUUUCGGAGGAAGUUGGAACAAUUGAUGCCAUUCUUGAAAGCUUAGGUUGUGAAGGUUGACCGGAGUUUCACUUUUGUGUAGUUGACCCCAAAAUCGUAUUUUUAUUGUUCCAAUAGGUUCGUAUGGUAAUUUUAGACAUAGUUGUAUAUCUAAAUUUUGAUUUGGAGGUUCCUAGGUUAGUUUGGCUCUUUUUAGCGAAAGUUAGAAAGUUAAAGGUUUGGAAGGUUCGUAGGUUUUACUAGGAGUUGACUUUGAUAAUAUCAGGUUCAGAUUAUGGUUUCCAGAGUUAGAAUAAGUCCGCUGUGUCAUUUGGGACUUGUAUGCAAAAUUUAAGGUCAUUUUGAGUUGUUUAGGCAUGUUCGACAUAAGUUUUGAAUUUGGAAUUUAGAUUAGUUCAUUAUGUUUGAAUUGAGGUGUGAUUCGAGGUUUUGAUUUAUUUUGUGUUAUUUGAGGCCUCGAGUAGGUCCAUAUUAUGUUGUGAGAUUAGUUGGUGUGAUUGGACGGGGUCCCGGGAGCCUCGGCUGUGUUUCGGUUUGGAUUUAGAUCAUUUUCUUUUGGUUUGGAACUGGUGGUUUUCUGAUGUCCUUCGCAAUCACGGAGACUGUUUUGGUGGCAGGUAAUGUUUGCUCUUCGCGUCCGCGAUAGGGUGGUCACAUUUAUGGAGCAUGGGGGCACUGUCCUUCACGUUCAUGACCUGUGCAUCGGGUUCGCGUAGAGGAAGGUUGGCUAGGGGAUGGCUUAUGUUGUGUCAUCGCUUUCGCGUGCAUGAAACUGCAUUCGCAUAGACUCUGUAGAGGAGGACAUCGCGUUUGUGUGGAUGGUCUCAUGUCCGCAUAGAAAGGGCAGCAACUAGAAAAGGAUUUGGCCUUCGCGAUCACAGAGGGUAUCGCUCCGAUUUGGGUGAUUCUUAAGGGAAUUUUCACGAUUUGGAUUGGGACAUGUAUUUUUUUACUCUAAUUUGGUUACUAUUCAUGAUUUCGUCCUUGAUUUUAGCAUUUGAAUGAUGAAUCCAAGUGAAGAAAUUGGGAAUUUUGGGAAAAACUUAUCUAAAGUGUAAAUUCGAUAUGAACCCCGAUUUGGAGUCGAAUUGGAAAAAACUUAUAUAGUUGGACUCAUAUUGGAAUGGAUGUUUGGAGUUUGUGAGUUUUGUUCAGUUUUGGGGUGCGAGUUUGGGGUUGAAUUCACAUAUUUGUAUCAAGAUCUUAGCUUUAUUGUUUGGUGUUAUUUCCUAUGGCUUCUAUUGAUGAUAUUAAAUUAUCUUUGUUGGAUUCCAGCCGUCCGGAGGCUGAUUCAUGCGGGAUGGGAUUUUUAAAGUAUUUAUUUAUCUUAUUUGAGGUAAGUAUCUUAGAUAAACUUGGUUGAAGCACUAGUUGCCUGAAUUAUUAGUGUUAGCUAUGCCCCAUGGGUGACGCACAUGUGAGGGGAUUGAGCCCAUGUGCCUGCACCAGGGUACUAUCCAUGUUCGGGGUAGUGAUUAGGCUAUUGUAUUCUGGGGUACCAUACUUCUUAUGUUGUAUUCCCUUUAUGAGCUAUUUGAAUCAUGUUAGAGAUUAUUUGUUGGUUGAUCUCCUAUUCAAACAUAUUAGUUGCUACUCUUGUUGGCGUAAUCGCCUGACUAGAAUUGUGGUAGCACACUUCGCACAUGCCUACUCUUUAGCAUGUCACUUAUAUCAGUCCAUGAUUAAGUAAAUUGAUAUCCAUUAUUCAUGUACAUGUAUUUCUCUAUAUGCUUUAUGUGUGAUAUGGACUAGGUUGAUAGCACGUGAGUGGUCUGUGCAUAUCUGAGAUGUGUUAGCAUGUCAGUUGUCCAUGCGGGGGUUAUAUAAGGCAUGUGAGUUUUCCGUGCAGCAUGUGGAUAAGGAUCUAUCCCCCUAGGAUCACCCUCUCAUAUUUCUUUCUUUAUGGUGUACAUGCGGUAGGAGGAAAAUUGGCUAGUGUUUGAUUUGGUUAUUACAUUUCUUCUGUACUUGCAAUUUUCUUUGAUGUAUACAUGUUUUAUUUGCAUAUCUUCUCUAUAUGCUAGAUCGGUAAUGUAUACACGACUUUUUUUUUGUAUAUCUUCUCUAUACACUCAAUUUUAACUGGAAUAGAGCAUGUUACAUUAUCUUUGUUGUGUAUUAUAAUGUUAUUGUUGUGUACUUGUGAAAUUGAUUAACUGAGGAGAUUGUUAGCGAGUAUCAUGAAUAAUUCUUGACACUAAUACCUUGCCGAGAUUAGUUAUGAUACUUGUUGAGUACAUAAGAUUAGUUGUACUCAUACUAUAUUGUGCACCUAAUUGUGCAGAUCCAGGUGUUGGACCAAGCCGUGAGUAGCUGUGUUUUGUUGUUGUGGUUGUCUUCGAGAGACGAGGUAGAGUUGCAUCUCGACCUAAGUCUUUGGCACCUCUUUUCGUUUUUAGUACUGUUAUUUUCAUUCAGAUAGUAUUACCAAUUCUGGGGACUUAUGUAUUGACGUAGUUAUUUAUAUUAUUGAUUUUAGACUUGUAUUAUUUUCGUUAUUCUGUUACCUUGUUCCGCUAUUAUUAUGUUUGGCUUGCGUGGCAAGUGAGUUAGGCACCAUCACGAUUGAUAGGUAGUUUUGGAUUGUGACAAGUUGGAAUUAGAGCCCUAGGCUUAUAGGUUCUAUGGGUCAUGAGCAAGUUUAGUAGAGUCUUGUGGAUUGGUACAGAGACACUGUACUUAUCUUCGUGAGGCUACCGAACUAUUAGGAAAAUAUUACUUUCUUGCAUUUUUGUCAUGCAAAUUUGUUAAAUUCCAAAGUUUGAACCUUUACUCUUUUAUUCUCUCAAAGAGGGUGAUGACACGUUCAACCAAAUUGGAUGGGUAGGCACAAUACCUCCAAGCAGGGCUGUGAGAGGUCGGGGCCAAGGUAGAGGUUGGGGGCGAGGUAGGACCCGCACUACAGAUAGGAAAACACCUUCGGAGUCACCAGUGUCUCUACAGAAGGAGUGGUUUCAGAUAUUGUUAAGUUGGUAGGACCAGCUCAGACACUAACGACACUUGUUGCUCUACCUAGUCUUCAAGAGACUUUUGCCCAGAUCUUGAGUGUGUACACGAGCUUGGCUCAAGCGGGAAUAAUAUCAGUUCCACUAGCUACCUCUACGACUAGGGGAGGAGCCCAGACUCCCGCCGCCCGUACACCGAAGCAGCUAGCUCAGGGUUAUCAGACACCAGGGGUUUGGCUCGUUAUUGAUGCUCAGCCCGACGCUGGACCAUCUUUGACUAAUGAGGAGCGGAAGAGGUUAGAUAGAUUUCAGAGGCUUCAUCCUCCCCAGUUUAGUGGAGGAUUGUCAAAGCAUGCUCAGGGUUUUCUCGAUCAAUGUCAUCGGAUUCUUCGCACAGCGGGUCUCAUGGUUUCCAUUUCUUCACUACUUUUCAGCUCACAUGGCUAGCCUAUAGGUGGUGGAAGACUAUGAGUCAGUAAGACCGGCUGGCGCAGUACCACUUACAUGGUAUCAAUUCUAUGUUCUCUUAUUAAAGAGGUUUUUCCCACAGACUCGCAACAAAGAGUUGCGUAGGGAGUUUGAGCAUCUAUGACAGGAGGGCAUGACUAUGACCCAAUACGAGAUGAAAUUCACAAAGUUGGAGUGUCAUGCGGUAUUUUUAGUCACUAUUGAGAGGGAUGUGAGCACAUAAUUUUUACCCGAUUAAAAUACUCCUACAAAAUUCACAAAAUAGGAUUUUCUAAUUAUUUUAAUUUUUAUAGAAUUUUAGGAAUUUCUUGUUAAUUGUUGUUUGCAUUUAGUUGCAUAUUUAACAUUUUAAAAUUAUGAUAAAAAUACCAAAAAUGUCUAAAAUAUUUCAUGCAUCUUAAUUGCAUUUAGGAUUUAAUUACAUGAGUUAAUUGCAUUAUUAAAUAAAAAUCACAAAAAUAAUGAUCAUUUUUACAUAUUUAGCUUUUAGUUUUAAAAUUUGUACUUCCCUUUCAUUAGUGUUAAGUUAAUUAAUUAUGUUGAUGUUAGAAAUAGAUAAUUAAUUUAAUUUUAUAAUUUAGAAUCUAAUUUAAGGAUUUUAGUUAAUUUGUUUAGGAUAUUAAUUAAUAUAAUUAGGAUUUUAAAGUCAAAUUAAAGAAAAAGAAAAAAGGGGGAAAGAGAGAUGGUCUUGUUUUGGUCCAAUUUUGGGCUAAACGUCUUCAGUGGCCCCGUUUUGGUCACAACUAAUCCCCACCCUUCAUCUAAUCUAAUCCAACGGCUACUAACUCCCUCCCCAUCUCCCAUAAGAGUGUCCGAAACCGCCCCCCAAAUCUAAAACAAAUCUUCAUUCUUCUCCAUCUCCCUCACCUAUCCCAAACCCUAGCUGCCUCUAAAUCCCUCAUCCCCACUGGCCGGCGUUGGCGCACUAAACACCACCAAUCACCUCCAAACCUUCACCCUAUAAUCUCCAACUCCUCCCCAAUCUAAACCUCUUAUUAUUUGCUCCGAAAUCUUCACCAAAAUCAACAUAUUAUAGAUCUAAGAUUCCAAAAACUUGAGUUCUAUCCACUCUCAGAUUCUUCAUGAUUUACCGCGUAUUUUGGCUCGAAACUCAAGUUAAUCGAUUGCUCUUAAUGAGAGCUAUCAAGUUAUGUUAGCUUCGAUCCAUUUCGAAGCCACAGAAUCCAUUCGAGUUUUGGUUGGUUGGCCCGUUUUUCUCUUCCAAAUUGUUUUUAGUCGUGUAAUGCCUCCAGGUAUAACUCUUCUCAUUAUUUCCCUUUAGUUUCU